CACGCCCUAAACGAUGAGAACUGGACGUUGGGAGGAAUUUGCCUCUUAGUGUCGAAGCUAACGCGUGAAGUUCUCCGCCUGGGGAGUACGCUCGCAAGAGUGAAACUCAAAGGAAUUGAC
RNAcentral lists this ribosomal RNA (120 nucleotides) under uncultured bacterium. RNAcentral's name for it is "partial 16S ribosomal RNA". It matches the Rfam family "Bacterial small subunit ribosomal RNA", at positions 796 to 914 of the family's 1533-position model. The record is from RNAcentral.